This 615-nucleotide ribosomal RNA is filed under the name Staphylococcus aureus. RNAcentral's name for it is "partial 23S ribosomal RNA". It matches the Rfam family "Bacterial large subunit ribosomal RNA", at positions 1272 to 1883 of the family's 2925-position model. The record is from RNAcentral. Lineage: Bacteria; Bacillati; Bacillota; Bacilli; Caryophanales; Staphylococcaceae.
UGUGGAGCGCUUAGAAGUGAGAAUGCCGGUGUGAGUAGCGAAAGACGGGUGAGAAUCCCGUCCACCGAUUGACUAAGGUUUCCAGAGGAAGGCUCGUCCGCUCUGGGUUAGUCGGGUCCUAAGCUGAGGCCGACAGGCGUAGGCGAUGGAUAACAGGUUGAUAUUCCUGUACCACCUAUAAUCGUUUUAAUCGAUGGGGGGACGCAGUAGGAUAGGCGAAGCGUGCGAUUGGAUUGCACGUCUAAGCAGUAAGGCUGAGUAUUAGGCAAAUCCGGUACUCAUUAAGGCUGAGCUGUGAUGGGGAGAAGACAUUGUGUCUUCGAGUCGUUGAUUUCACACUGCCGAGAAAAGCCUCUAGAUAGAAAAUAGGUGCCCGUACCGCAAACCGACACAGGUAGUCAAGAUGAGAAUUCUAAGGUGAGCGAGCGAACUCUCGUUAAGGAACUCGGCAAAAUGACCCCGUAACUUCGGGAGAAGGGGUGCUCUUUAGGGUUAACGCCCAGAAGAGCCGCAGUGAAUAGGCCCAAGCGACUGUUUAUCAAAAACACAGGUCUCUGCUAAACCGUAAGGUGAUGUAUAGGGGCUGACGCCUGCCCGGUGCUGGAAGGUUAAGAG